This 472-nucleotide ribosomal RNA is filed under the name uncultured Sulfitobacter sp. RNAcentral's name for it is "bacterial SSU rRNA". It matches the Rfam family "Bacterial small subunit ribosomal RNA", at positions 8 to 524 of the family's 1533-position model. Lineage: Bacteria; Pseudomonadati; Pseudomonadota; Alphaproteobacteria; Rhodobacterales; Roseobacteraceae. The record is from RNAcentral.
AGAGUUUGAUCCUGGCUCAGAACGAACGCUGGCGGCAGGCCUAACACAUGCAAGUCGAGCGCAGUCCUUCGGGACCGAGCGGCGGACGGGUUAGUAACGCGUGGGAACAUACCCUUUUNUACGGAAUAGCCUCGGGAAACUGAGAGUAAUACCGUAUAAGCCCUUCGGGGGAAAGAUUUAUCGGGAAAGGAUUGGCCCGCGUUAGAUUAGAUAGUUGGUGGGGUAAUGGCCUACCAAGUCUACGAUCUAUAGCUGGUUUUAGAGGAUGAUCAGCAACACUGGGACUGAGACACGGCCCAGACUCCUACGGGAGGCAGCAGUGGGGAAUCUUAGACAAUGGGCGCAAGCCUGAUCUAGCCAUGCCGCGUGUGUGAUGAAGGUCUUAGGAUCGUAAAGCACUUUCGCCAGGGAUGAUAAUGACAGUACCUGGUAAAGAAACCCCGGCUAACUCCGUGCCAGCAGCCGCGGUAAU